GAACUUUCUCUGGUUUCUCCUACUCAGC
Molecule: non-coding RNA, 28 nt
Filed under: Mus musculus (house mouse)
Lineage: Eukaryota; Metazoa; Chordata; Mammalia; Rodentia; Muridae
Source: RNAcentral